This 284-nucleotide unclassified non-coding RNA is filed under the name uncultured fungus. RNAcentral's name for it is "partial contains 5.8S ribosomal RNA, internal transcribed spacer 2, and large subunit ribosomal RNA". The stretch from base 1 to 52 matches the Rfam family "5.8S ribosomal RNA", at positions 103 to 154 of the family's 154-position model. Lineage: Eukaryota; Fungi. The record is from RNAcentral.
AACGCAACUUGCGCUCCUUGGUAUUCCGAGGAGCAUGCCUGUUUGAGUGUCAUUAAAAGUUCUCAACCACAUUAUCAAUGAUGUGGCUUGGAUGUGGGGGGUUUUUUUUUGCAGGCUUCUCAGCUUGAAGUCUGCUCCCCUGAAAUGCAUUAGUGGUGUCUGAGCUACUACUACUAGAUGUGAUAAUUAUCUACAUCGAAAAAUGUAUGCUGCAGCAGCCGCUUCAUAUUUAUGAAUUUGAUGAAUUUGACCUCAAAUCAGGUAGGACUACCCGCUGAACUUAA